UACGUAGGGUGCAAGCGUUGUCCGGAAUUAUUGGGCGUAAAGAGCUCGUAGGCGGUCUGUCGCGUCGGCUGUGAAAACCCGUGGCUCAACCCCGGGCCUGCAGUCGAUACGGGCAGACUAGAGUGCGGUAGGGGAGACUGGAAUUCCUGGUGUAGCGGUGAAAUGCGCAGAUAUCAGGAGGAACACCGGCGGCGAAGGCGGGUCUCUGGGCCGUAACUGACGCUGAGGAGCGAAAGCGUGGGGAGCGAACAGG
RNAcentral lists this ribosomal RNA (253 nucleotides) under uncultured bacterium. Its description in RNAcentral is "partial 16S ribosomal RNA". It matches the Rfam family "Bacterial small subunit ribosomal RNA", at positions 524 to 776 of the family's 1533-position model. The record is from RNAcentral.